UACUGGUCUGGUUCUACUCCUUUAACCUAAUCACACUGCCAUUCUGAUCAUAACCAUACUGUUCUGGUUCUACUCCUUUAACCUAGUCACACUGUCGUUCUGAUCCUAACCAUACUGGUCUGGUUCUACUCCUUUAACCUAGUCACACUGUCGUUCUGAUCCUAACCAUACUGGUCUGGUUCUACUCCUUUAACCUAAUCACACUGCCAUUCUGAUCAUAACCAUACUGUUCUGGUUCUACUCCUUUAACCUAGUCACACUGUUGUUCUGAUCCUAACCAUCUAACCAUUCUUAUCACCUUGUCCUUUGCAGGCCAGUUCAGCUUGGCUUAGAUCGACUCUGUAGUGUGAAAAGGACAGUUUUUUCAUCCUUGCCUUGUUACCAGAGAUUGAUUUGUCGCUGGGAAACGAGGUGUGUGCACACGUCAGCCAAUCAUUAGUUGAUCAUAAGAACCAGGGAGAAACACUAACCUAGCAGGACUGUGGACGUCGAGGGCCUGAGUUUAUGCACCCUUGAUCAAGACAAUCAACUGUUACUGUAUUUCUCAGUGUUGAGUUUAUCCAGGUCAACUGUUACUGUAUUUCUCAGUGUUGAGUUUAUCCAGGUCAACUGUUACUGUAUUUCUCAGUGUUGAGUUUACCCUGGUCAACUGGCUAACUCAUUGAUCCUGCCUGGUGAGUUUACCACCCAGCUCUGCCCAUUCAUGUCAUUAGAUAUAAACUGGGAUUUCUGAGUGCUCUGCACAGCUAUAACCAUCAAAGCAAAGCUAGUAGCUGCAACGGAGACUGCAGAGAGAACAGAAUCCUCCACAGUUACAACUGGGAUGUAGACUUCACAAUGAUUGUACAAACAUCAUCAUGGCAACACAGCGUGACUUAGGCCUUAUUAGUAACUGUAAUGAAAUAACAAAUGGAAUGAUUUAAUACCAGACAUGAACCCAGUUACAGUCCACUUCCACUGCUUUUCCAUUUCAAUCGUGUUUGAAAUUACUAUUUGAAAAAAAUACACAUUCUAAUUCAUAUGAAAAAGGGAAUCUAAAAGUAGUGACAUUUCCAAAACUUGUUUACGACCCUGUUAUUACAUGGUAAUUACACAGCUUAUUUCAGUGGUUGUUAAUAUGGUUUAACAAGGCGAAGCCUAUGACGUCAAGUGUGGCCAGAAACCUUACUGUACUAGAAGGAUUGGUACACUUGUAGUCCCGCAGUCAAACACACUCCAGGUCAGGGGUGGGCAAGUCCAUUCCUCCAGGGCCUGAUUGGUGUCACACUUUUUCUCCAUCCCCAGCUAAAACACCUGACUCCAAUAUCAUGAUCUUCAGUUUAGAAUGUUAUUAGUUUAAUCAGCCGUGUUUGCUAGGUGUGGGUGAAAAGUGUGACACCAUCCCUGCUCCAGGGGACUGGAGUUGCCCAUCCCUGCUCCAGGGGACUGGAGUUGCCCAUCCCUGCUCCAGGGGAAUAGAGUUGCCCAUCCCUGCUCCAGGGGAAUGGAGUUGCCCAUUCAUGCUCCAGGGGAAUGGAGUUGCCCAUCCCUGCUCCAGGGGAAUGGAGUUGCCCAUCCCUGCUCCAGGGGAAUGGAGGGGAAUGGAGUUGCCCAUCCCUGCUCCAGGGGAAUGGAGUUGCCCAUCCCUGCUCCAGGGGAAUGGAGUUGCCCUCCAGGGGACUGGAGUUGCCCAUCCCUGCUCCAGGGGAAUAGAGUUGCCCAUCCCUGCUCCAGGGGACUAGAGUUGCCCAUCCCUGCUCCCUCCAGGGGAGUUGCCCAUCCCUGCUCCAGGGGAAUAGAGUUGCCCAUCCCUGCUCCAGGGGAAUAGAGUUGCCCAUCCCUGCUCCAGGGGAAUGGAGUUGCCCAUCCCUGCUCCAGGGGAAUGGAGUGCCCAUCCCUGCCCAUCCCUGCUCCAGGGGAAUGGAGUUGCC
This is a long non-coding RNA of Oncorhynchus tshawytscha (Chinook salmon), 1910 nucleotides long. The record is from Ensembl. Lineage: Eukaryota; Metazoa; Chordata; Actinopteri; Salmoniformes; Salmonidae.